GCCAGCAGCUAUCACUCUGCAGCUCUCGCCUGGUCGCCCACUGAAGCUAAGCAGGGUUGAGCCUGGUCAGUACCUGAAUGGGAGACCUCCUGGGAAAACUAGGUUGCUGCUGGAA
Molecule: ribosomal RNA, 115 nt
Filed under: Sinocyclocheilus anshuiensis
Lineage: Eukaryota; Metazoa; Chordata; Actinopteri; Cypriniformes; Cyprinidae
Source: RNAcentral